RNAcentral lists this ribosomal RNA (474 nucleotides) under uncultured bacterium. RNAcentral describes it as "bacterial SSU rRNA". It matches the Rfam family "Bacterial small subunit ribosomal RNA", at positions 791 to 1268 of the family's 1533-position model. The record is from RNAcentral.
UAGUCCACGCCGUAAACGAUGGAUACUAGCUGUUGGACUUCGGUUGAGUGGCUAAGCGAAAGUGAUAAGUAUCCCACCUGGGGAGUACGUUCGCAAGAAUGAAACUCAAAGGAAUUGACGGGGCCCGCACAAGCGGUGGAGCAUGUGGUUUAAUUCGAUGAUACGCGAGGAACCUUACCAGGGCUUAAAUGUAAGUUGCAUGAUUUAGAGAUAGAUCUUUCUUCGGACUACUUACAAGGUGCUGCAUGGUUGUCGUCAGCUCGUGCCGUGAGGUGUCAGGUUAAGUCCUAUAACGAGCGCAACCCCUGUUGUUAGUUGCCAGCGAGUAAUGUCGGGAACUCUAACAAGACUGCCAGUGCAAACUGUGAGGAAGGUGGGGAUGGACGUCAAAUCAUCACGGGCCCUUACGUCCCUGGGGCUACACACGUGCUACAAUGGUAGGGGACAGAGAGCAGCCACACCGCGAGGUGGAGC